RNAcentral lists this ribosomal RNA (253 nucleotides) under uncultured bacterium. RNAcentral's name for it is "partial 16S ribosomal RNA". It matches the Rfam family "Bacterial small subunit ribosomal RNA", at positions 524 to 776 of the family's 1533-position model. The record is from RNAcentral.
UACGUAGGGGGCUAGCGUUGUCCGGAUUCAUUGGGCGUAAAGAGCGUGUAGGCGGCCAGGUAGGUCAGCUGUGAAAACUGGAGGCUUAACCUCCAGACGUCGACGGAAACCGCGUGGCUAGAGUCCGGAAGAGGAGAGUGGAAUUCCUGGUGUAGCGGUGAAAUGCGCAGAUAUCAGGAAGAACACCAAUGGCGAAGGCAGCUCUCUGGGACGGUACUGACGCUGAGACGCGAAAGCGUGGGGAGCGAACAGG